GUUCACACUUAAAUUUUAAAGAACGCGUAAAAUAAAGUGGGAACACUACUUGUUGAUACGUAGAACGAAAGAAUUUCUUUCGUUAAAUGAUGUAGCCGGCGUCCCCAAGCCAACCCAAGCCAUUCAGUUACAGUGUGAAUGUCUGAUCGAUAAGAGGAGCUAUUCAGCGGAGAGCUGAAGCAAAAAUAAAAAGAGAUUUGUUCGAUUUCCCAUUUGCCGCCGCCCGCCCGUCGCCUGCUGCCAUCACGUCGUUUCAUGCAUCAAAAAUUUAAGUGCUCUUCUUACACCACGUUGCCACCACCACGCUGCCGCCACAUAUUGUCUGCCUCCGGUGUCGUUGUCGUCAUUUGCCACACCACGUUCCUUCCAGCCACCACUUUGUUCCCGCCAGCCACC
Molecule: long non-coding RNA, 396 nt
Organism: Episyrphus balteatus (marmalade hoverfly)
Lineage: Eukaryota; Metazoa; Arthropoda; Insecta; Diptera; Syrphidae
Exons: 3
Source: RefSeq, a predicted model, not a curated record